AAUCUUGAUUAUGCUUUGAGAAUGUUUUUGCAGGAAUAAUUCAAGACUUCAAGACUCCAUGUCUAAGUCAUAGAGUUUGUAUUAAGGGUGUAAAAGUGUAAAUUUCGUUUUUUUGGAUUGAUCAUGCAGGAGAUUAUCGUUUGGUGAUUGCGAUGAUCUUCGUUUUAUGAUUUAUUAGUUGUAUACGAGCUUUGUAGUAUAUUUUGUCACGAAAUCGCCAAAGGGGGAGAUUGUUAAGGAUUUUAUAGGUUGGCGAAUUUCGUAAAGUUGUUUGGAGUCUUGAAGAGUUGAUCGCAGAAGUUUUUGAGAAGAGAUUCAAAUUGGAGGACGAAGACUCAUUCGGAAAGAUCGACACCUAAGGUAUGAAGAAAAGAUCAUUUGUGGUG
RNAcentral lists this long non-coding RNA (386 nucleotides) under Ananas comosus (pineapple). Its description in RNAcentral is "long non-coding RNA (ACOM_LNC044202)". The record is from RNAcentral. Lineage: Eukaryota; Viridiplantae; Streptophyta; Magnoliopsida; Poales; Bromeliaceae.